Molecule: ribosomal RNA, 301 nt
Filed under: uncultured bacterium
Lineage: Bacteria
Description: partial 16S ribosomal RNA
Rfam family: Bacterial small subunit ribosomal RNA
Source: RNAcentral
CAGUCGCCGCGGGAAUACGGAGGGCGCGAGCGUUACCCGGAUUUACUGGGCGUAAAGGGCGUGUAGGCGGCCUGGGGCGUCCCAUGUGAAAGGCCACGGCUCAACCGUAGAGGAGCGUGGGAUACGCUCAGGCUAGAGGGUGGGAGAGGGUGGUGGAAUUCCCGGAGUAGCGGUGAAAUGCGCAGAUACCGGGAGGAACGCCGAUGGCGAAGGCAGCCACCUGGUCCACUUCUGACGCUGAGGCGCGAAAGCGUGGGGAGCAAACCGGAUUAGAUACCCGCGUAGUCCCUGUCUCUUAUAC